GAAAUAAAUUAAUAAAGCUUCUAACUUUAAUUUAGAUAUUAGGAUAUCAUUAUUUCU
This 57-nucleotide transfer RNA is filed under the name Bombus terrestris (buff-tailed bumblebee). Its description in RNAcentral is "tRNA-Ser". RNAcentral also lists the same sequence under 2 other names. The record is from RNAcentral. Lineage: Eukaryota; Metazoa; Arthropoda; Insecta; Hymenoptera; Apidae.